GAUGAACGCUGGCGGCGUGCCUAAUACAUGCAAGUCGAGCGAACAGACGAGGAGCUUGCUCCUCUGACGUUAGCGGCGGACGGGUGAGUAACACGUGGAUAACCUACCUAUAAGACUGGGAUAACUUCGGGAAACCGGAGCUAAUACCGGAUAAUAUAUUGAACCGCAUGGUUCAAUAGUGAAAGACGGUUUUGCUGUCACUUAUAGAUGGAUCCGCGCCGCAUUAGCUAGUUGGUAAGGUAACGGCUUACCAAGGCAACGAUGCGUAGCCGACCUGAGAGGGUGAUCGGCCACACUGGAACUGGGACACGGUCCAGACUCCUACGGGAGGCAGCAGUAGGGAAUCUUCCGCAAUGGGCGAAAGCCUGACGGAGCAACGCCGCGUGAGUGAUGAAGGUCUUCGGAUCGUAAAACUCUGUUAUUAGGGAAGAACAAAUGUGUAAGUAACUAUGCACGUCUUGACGGUACCUAAUCAGAAAGCCACGGCUAACUACGUG
This 497-nucleotide ribosomal RNA is filed under the name uncultured bacterium. RNAcentral describes it as "partial 16S ribosomal RNA". It matches the Rfam family "Bacterial small subunit ribosomal RNA", at positions 28 to 507 of the family's 1533-position model. The record is from RNAcentral.